Molecule: non-coding RNA, 1077 nt
Organism: Caretta caretta (loggerhead turtle)
Lineage: Eukaryota; Metazoa; Chordata; Testudines; Cheloniidae
Source: RefSeq, a predicted model, not a curated record
CCUCCCCCCUUCGGUCUUGGCCGGCUUCCUAGGCUGGCCAGGGACCUCCGCAGAGGCGGGGCGGGCGUUGCUGGAAGGGUGGGACCGACACAUCCAGCGUCCCCCGCCCGCCAGCGAAGUUCCGCCCGGGCCCCUGCAGCCCUUGCCGCGGCCGGACUAAAACCGCCCCGGGCUCGCAGCUCCGGUCGCAGGUGGCUAGAACAUAACCCAGCCCAGCCGGCUUCUCGGGGCCGGGAGUGAGGCCGGGGGCGCCCUCAGGGAGCAGUUCAGCUCCUUGGUGGAGUCAGGCCGUGGAAACAAUAGGGGGCCCCGGCCGGGCUGGGCCGCGCCCGCGCGGGGCGGGUUAUACAUGCCUCGGAGCAGCGGGGAGCGAAGACGUCGGUUAGAAAAGCACGUGCGCGAGGCGGAGCGACCGCGAGGCGAGAGCGCGUUGGGAGGCGCGCUGGCUGGAGGGGCGCCAGGGGCAUUUGGCGCGAGGACGUAGGCUCCUGUUUGGGGCCUGGGGAGACAGGCUCUUAGGUACAUUCCUUGCCUGGACCAGAGAGCAGUGGUCUGAUGACAAAGAUACUGCGUUGGACAUGGGUACUUGAUCUUCCCCGAACUAGCCAAUUGUCCAGGUCACUUUGGUUUCUCAGAGCCAUGGAGUAGCCACACCUUGAGGUGAAGUCUUGCCAGGUUUGGGCAGUGGACCUGAACUGCAUCCUGAGAAAGGAGAUGUGGCAGAAAAGGAAAAGUGCGUGGUGGGCACACAGCCAUCUUUAGAAGGUUGGGGAAGCACCCAAGAGCUGUUGAAUGCUGCUUAUAAGCAACCAGGAAGUACCCAGAAAAAAAACUGCAAGUGGAGGAUAAGUGCAGACCCCCUUACCGUUUGGAGUGAAAUGAAUAAAUAAAAAAUUGUGGGGAGGGGGGUUAGAUUUUUUUAAGAAAAUUCCCUUUCAGUCAAGGCUGAAGGACUGUUUGAACUCCCUCUCCACUUCUGAUUUUUUACAAUGUCCCCAGAAUUUACCAGAUUUCUUUGAUGUCUCAGGGACUUGCAUUUUGAGCAAAUAGUCAACUUACCAUUUGUCUGCAGUGAUC